GCGCUUGCUUCGGCAACACGCAUACUAAAAUUGGAAGGAUACAGAGAAGAUUAGCAAGGCUCCUGCACAAGGAUGACAUGCAAAUUUGUGAAAUAUUCCAUGUUUUU
RNAcentral lists this small nuclear RNA (107 nucleotides) under Jaculus jaculus (lesser Egyptian jerboa). The record is from RNAcentral. Lineage: Eukaryota; Metazoa; Chordata; Mammalia; Rodentia; Dipodidae.